This 246-nucleotide ribosomal RNA is filed under the name uncultured bacterium. Its description in RNAcentral is "partial small subunit ribosomal RNA". It matches the Rfam family "Bacterial small subunit ribosomal RNA", at positions 26 to 286 of the family's 1533-position model. The record is from RNAcentral.
AGAAUCAACGCUGGCGGCGUGCCUAACACAUGCAAGUCGCACGAGAAAGGGACUUCGGUCCUGAGUAAAGUGGCGCACGGGUGAGUAACACGUGACUAACCUACCCUUGAGUGGGGGAUAACCUAGGGAAACCUGGGCUAAUACCGCAUAAGUACCUACGGGUCAAAGGAGCAAUUCGCUUUAGGAGGGGUCGCGGCAGAUUAGUUAGUUGGCGGGGUAAUGGCCCACCAAGACAGUGAUCUGUAU